Triticum urartu is the source of this 2500-nucleotide non-coding RNA. The record is from RefSeq and is a predicted model, not a curated record. Lineage: Eukaryota; Viridiplantae; Streptophyta; Magnoliopsida; Poales; Poaceae.
CCAUCCCCACUCCCCUGCCGCCGCCGUCCAUCCCCACCUCCCUGCUGUCGCUCCACCACCUAUGCCCCCGCCGCCGUGCCAUCGCUGCCCUCGUGCUCCAGCGUCACCCUCGUCCUCGCUGCCCUCGUCCUCACGCUUCCCCCACCCCACCGACACAUGUUCCCUACCAUCGCCGGGGUCGCAGCCGCCGAUAGACCGACCCCGAGAUCCGUCCGUCCACCGUCCCCAACCCCAUUCCACGUCCCCGAGCCCUCGACCCCAUCCCCUCCUUCCUUCCUUGCAGUCACAGCCGCCGAGAGCUCCGUCCGCUGCCGCGUUCACCGACCAGCCCCCUCCCCCACCCCCAAGAUGAAGUGAAUGCCGCUUAGGGAUUCUAGCGCCACCGCCAACCACCAUCGGAGACUGCCAUCCGCAAGCGCCAGCAUCGCCAUAACUACCGAAUCACCUCGGGCUGGUGGGAGUGGGCGUUGCUAGGUAAGCACCGAUGGUGGGAUCCCCAAUUUGUUUUCUUUGUUCUUGUUCUUCCAACCGUGACUAGCACCCUGUGUCUCUAGUAGAUCGAACUACAAGUUUGCUGCAACUUUGGAGUUGUAUUGUUGGUAGUUGCUGUGGAGUAGUUUGGACAUGUUGUUGAUCUGAAGCAUAACCUGAUCCCUUCUCACUUAAUCAGCCCCUUUUUGUUUAAGAAGAGCGUGUAGUAUUACAAAGGUUACUACUUCGAUCUGUAUACCACUGAGAAGCAAAGCAAUCAUACCUUGUUUUAUUUUCUAAUUGUUUUGCCCGAUCGACGGCUAGCGGGACAUGGUACUUUAGUUCUUGAAUUCUAGGCUUGCAAGUGUCUGAAUUCUAGGUCUGCAUCAGCAUCAUAUGUUAAUCAGAUAUAUGUGUAACCAGCUAUACUGAUGAUAUUUCUAUAAUAAAUAGUAAUUCUGGAGUACCACUUCUUUUUGUAGCUAGCAUGUAGGCUAUAAGCUCUCGUUGAUGCUAUAGAUGGUCAGGUCGGUUUCAAUUUUUUCCGGACAAAAUUAGAUUCCAACCUAGUUUGUAGGAGGUUUGGUAGAUAUACAAGUCACUAUAAAAAAGUCAGUUGCACAGUCAAAUGACUGAAGUGAAAUAUUCUCAUUGGAGAAAUUUGCAACUGUUACCAAAUUGCAAAUGCAGAAUGAGAUAAUUGUAAGCUUAACACUGCAGAAUCAACGUUUUAUAAAUAUUGUUGGAUUAUCAAGUAUGCAGUAGGGGAUAAAUUUUUAACGGCUGCCUAUAAUGUCAACAUUGUCUAGGCAAAUAACAUGUUCUUUUCCGUUAUUUUUUUCCUUGAGAUGGUAAUACAUUUUAAUACGUCGCCUCAAAAUCUGGAAGACGAAAGUCAUUCAUUGAUACAAGUUUGUUUGCUGUGUUCCCUCCCUGUCAUUUAAACCCGCCAUUCGCUGAGUAAUUAUGGAUAAAAUUGUUGAUCUUCUCUUGUACAGUUUGGUUCAAGCACUUGUGUUUAUGGAGAAAAUUUACACUAGCUUGCACCCGUGGUCAAACAUUUAGGUCAAAAAUGCACCUGCUGCAUGGCCUAUUCCUUCAAUUUGUGCAGUAAGAUAAUGUGAUGAAUCAUUCAUUCAUAUAUUCAUAUAUGUGUUCAGAUGCUUCUUUCCAAACAUAUAAAAUGUGUUCAGAUGCAUGUCUUCGUUCAUGUUUUUCAUUUUUUCUUGGGACAGAAAAGUAGUAUGUAAUGCACGUAUCUCCAGAUGAGAUAGGAGAUAGAUAUAUUUAUGUGUCAGAUACUACUGUCUGACUAUUCGUGGUAAUAAAUAUUGGUGUUAAGUAGAAUCUCCAUUUUUGUUCCCAUCAUAGGACCAUUAAACAGUCCGAUGCGAGCCAUAUAUUUGAUAUUAAGCAAGUUGUCUGUGGAUGUUCAAUACCCACCUAAUUUGAGCUCCCCGUUUCCUUAUGCAGGUGCCAUAUAAUAAUGUUUGUGAACUAUGGACCUAUUGGGUAUGCUGGUGGUGGUGGUGGCAGGUACCAAAACAACAAGGUUCUUUCCUGAUGUCCUGCUUAUUGGAGGGGGGGGAUGAUGUAGCAUCGAUCACUAGUAGGCCAAGGGUGGUUGAUACAUGUCUUCACAUUUUUCAGAGCAACAUGCAGUGGAAGAAGCAGCCUAUGAACUGAAAUAGUUUGCAUAAGAAAUAGGCGAUGUACUCAGCCACCUACUACACAUGGAUGUGAUGACUUCAGAGUGUUCUGCAGCAUUUGGCUGUUUGCAGUAUUUUGGACCAGCCAACUUGUGGUCAUGAAUCUUAUGUCUGUUUUGGACCAUUUGGUGCUUCAAGUGUUUUGGAGUAUAUAUCUUGUGCUCAUGGGUGUGAUAUAAGUGUUUUGGUUCAUUUAAUGUUAGAACUCUUUUAGAACAGCAAAUAGUGGUCCCUUUAUGUGGCUUGUGUUUUCUCGAUGGUGGUCAAAAUGGCCAAACUUUGCUAUGUAAGGACUGUCUUGUUUUUGAACUUCUGAUCAA